RNAcentral lists this ribosomal RNA (468 nucleotides) under uncultured bacterium. Its description in RNAcentral is "partial 16S ribosomal RNA". It matches the Rfam family "Bacterial small subunit ribosomal RNA", at positions 28 to 507 of the family's 1533-position model. The record is from RNAcentral.
GACGAACGCUGGCGGCGUGCUUAACACAUGCAAGUCGAACGGAAAGGCCCUGCUUUUGUGGGGUGCUCGAGUGGCGAACGGGUGAGUAACACGUGAGUAACCUGCCCUUGACUUUGGGAUAACUUCAGGAAACUGGGGCUAAUACCGGAUAGGAGCUCCUGCUGCAUGGUGGGGGUUGGAAAGUUUCGGCGGUUGGGGAUGGACUCGCGGUUUAUCAGCUUGUUGGUGGGGUAGUGGCUUACCAAGGCUUUGACGGGUAGCCGGCCUGAGAGGGUGACCGGCCACAUUGGGACUGAGAUACGGCCCAGACUCCUACGGGAGGCAGCAGUGGGGAAUAUUGCACAAUGGGCGGAAGCCUGAUGCAGCAACGCCGCGUGCGGGAUGACGGCCUUCGGGCUGUAAACCGCUUUCGCCUGUGACGAAGCGUGAGUGACGGUAAUGGGUAAAGAAGCACCGGCUAACUACGUG